GACGAACGCUGGCGGCGUGCUUAACACAUGCAAGUCGAACGGAACGUCCCUGCUUGCAGGCUACUCGAUUGGCGAACGGGUGAGUAACACGUUUGUGAUCUGCCCUGCACUUCGGGAUAAGCCCUUGAACCUGGUACUAUUACCGGAUAGGAGCCAUAUCUAGUUUGAUGGUUGGAACGUUUUUUCGGUUUAGUAUUAGCUUGCGGCCGUUCAGCUUGUUGGUGGGGUAAUGGCAUAACAAGGCGGCUGCGCGUAGCCGGCCGUAGGGGGUGGACAGCAGCAUUGGGACUGAGAUACGGCCAAGACCCCUACGGGAGGGAGAAGUGGGGAAGAGUGCAAAAUGGGCGCAAGCCUGAUGCAGGGACACCGAGUGGGGGAUGACGGCCUUCGGGUUGGAAACUCAUUUCGCUAGGGACGAAGCUGUUUGUGACGGUACCUAGAGAAGAAGCACCGGCUAACUACGUG
This 465-nucleotide ribosomal RNA is filed under the name uncultured bacterium. Its description in RNAcentral is "partial 16S ribosomal RNA". It matches the Rfam family "Bacterial small subunit ribosomal RNA", at positions 28 to 507 of the family's 1533-position model. The record is from RNAcentral.